Molecule: ribosomal RNA, 438 nt
Filed under: uncultured bacterium
Lineage: Bacteria
Description: bacterial SSU rRNA
Rfam family: Bacterial small subunit ribosomal RNA
Source: RNAcentral
AUUGAACGCUGGCGGCAUGCCUUACACAUGCAAGUCGAACGGCAGCGCGGGGGCAACCUGGCGGCGAGUGGCGAACGGGUGAGUAAUAUAUCGGAACAUACCCUAGAGUGGGGGAUAACGUAGCGAAAGUUACGCUAAUACCGCAUACGCACUAAGGUGGAAAGUGGGGGAUCUUCGGACCUCAUGCUCAUGGAGUGGCCGAUAUCUGAUUAGCUAGUUGGUGAGGUAAAGGCUCACCAAGGCGACGAUCAGUAGCUGGUUUGAGAGAACGACCAGCCACACUGGAACUGAGACACGGUCCGGACUCCUACGGGAGGCAGCAGUGGGAAUUUGGACAAUGGGGGGCAACCCUGAUCCAGCAAUGCCGCGUGAGUGAAGAAGGCCCUUGGGUUGUAAAGCUCUUUAGCGAGGGAAGAGGUAGAUACGGUGAAUAAUCGU